AGCUUUGUGCAGUGGCAGUAUCAUAGCCAAUGAGGUUUAUCCAAGGUGCGAUUAUUGCUAAUUGAAAACUUUUCCCAAUACCCUCCCCCAAAAGAAAUAAAUCUUAUAUUUUAAACUAUAGGAAGGCAUCUGUAUUAAGC
Molecule: small nuclear RNA, 140 nt
Organism: Suncus etruscus (white-toothed pygmy shrew)
Lineage: Eukaryota; Metazoa; Chordata; Mammalia; Eulipotyphla; Soricidae
Product: U4 spliceosomal RNA
Exons: 1
Source: RefSeq, a predicted model, not a curated record